This 1402-nucleotide ribosomal RNA is filed under the name uncultured bacterium. RNAcentral describes it as "16S ribosomal RNA". It matches the Rfam family "Bacterial small subunit ribosomal RNA". The record is from RNAcentral.
AGAGUUUGAUCCUGGCUCAGGAUGAACGCUAGCGGCAGGCUUAACACAUGCAAGUCGAGGGGCAGCGGGGAGGAAGCUUGCUUUCUCCGCCGGCGACCGGCGCACGGGUGAGUAACACGUAUGCAACCUGCCCCUGUCAGGGGGACAACCCGCCGAAAGGCGGGCUAAACCCGCGUACAUGCCACCGGGGCAUCCCGGAGGCAGGAAAGGCUUCGGCCGGACAGGGAUGGGCAUGCGGCGCAUUAGGCAGUAGGCGGGGUAACGGCCCACCUAACCGACGAUGCGUAGGGGUUCUGAGAGGAAGGUCCCCCACACUGGUACUGAGACACGGACCAGACUCCUACGGGAGGCAGCAGUGAGGAAUAUUGGUCAAUGGUCGGGAGACUGAACCAGCCAAGCCGCGUGAGGGAGGAAGGUACAGAGUAUCGUAAACCUCUUUUGUCAGGGAACAAAGACUGGGACGCGUCCCCGGAUGAGUGUACCUGAAGAAAAAGCAUCGGCUAACUCCGUGCCAGCAGCCGCGGUAAUACGGAGGAUGCGAGCGUUAUCCGGAUUUAUUGGGUUUAAAGGGUGCGCAGGCGGUCUGUUAAGUCAGCGGUCAAAGCCCGGGGCUCAACCCCGGCCCGCCGUUGAAACUGGCAGUCUCGAGUUGGAGAGAAGUAUGCGGAAUGCGCGGUGUAGCGGUGAAAUGCAUAGAUAUCGCGCAGAACUCCGAUUGCGAAGGCAGCAUGCCGGCUCCACACUGACGCUGAGGCACGAAAGCGUGGGUAUCGAACAGGAUUAGAUACCCUGGUAGUCCACGCAGUAAACGAUGAAUGCUGGCUGUCCGGGGGGACUGACCCCUGGGUGGCGAAGCGAAAGCGAUAAGCAUUCCACCUGGGGAGUACGCCGGCAACGGUGAAACUCAAAGGAAUUGACGGGGGCCCGCACAAGCGGAGGAACAUGUGGUUUAAUUCGAUGAUACGCGAGGAACCUUACCCGGGCUCAAACGGGGAGUGGCGCAGGCAGAGACGCCUGUUUCCCACGGGACACUCCCCGAGGUGCUGCAUGGUUGUCGUCAGCUCGUGCCGUGAGGUGUCGGCUUAAGUGCCAUAACGAGCGCAACCCCCGCGUGCAGUUGCUAACAGUCAACGCUGAGGACUCUGCACGGACUGCCGGCGCAAGCCGCGAGGAAGGCGGGGAUGACGUCAAAUCAGCACGGCCCUUACGUCCGGGGCGACACACGUGUUACAAUGGGUGGUACAGCGGGAAGCCAGGCGGCGACGCCGAGCGGAACCCGAAAUCCACUCUCAGUUCGGAUCGGAGUCUGCAACCCGACUCCGUGAAGCUGGAUUCGCUAGUAAUCGCGCAUCAGCCAUGGCGCGGUGAAUACGUUCCCGGGCCUUGCACACACAGCCCGUCA